UCGGCCCUACGGGGGGCAGCAGUGGGGAAUAUUGCACAAUGGGGGGAACCCUGAUGCAGCGACGCCGCGUGAGUGAAGAAGUAUUUCGGUAUGUAAAGCUCUAUCAGCAGGGAAGAAAAUGACGGUACCUGAAGAAGAAGCCCCGGCUAACUACGUGCCAGCAGCCGCGGUAAUACGUAGGGGGCAAGCGUUAUCCGGAUUUACUGGGUGUAAAGGGGGCGCAGACGGCGAUGCAAGCCAGGAGUGAAAGCCCGGGGCCCAACCCCGGGACUGCUAUUGGAACUGCGUGGCUGGCGUGCCGGAGG
Molecule: ribosomal RNA, 305 nt
Filed under: uncultured bacterium
Lineage: Bacteria
Description: bacterial SSU rRNA
Rfam family: Bacterial small subunit ribosomal RNA
Source: RNAcentral